GUUUAUAGAGAGUCAGAUCCUUAUUUUGUAGCUUUCAGAUGUAAUUUCAAAUGAAUGAAGAUGAUGAUAUCACUUCAUAAUAUAAUAUUGCUUGUGCUUGUUCCCUAUUCAUCUUCCAGGUUCUAGCAGUCAUUCAAUAAUUGUUCCAUAGAUGAUUGUUCAAUCUGCAUCCAGUUUACCUAUUAGUAAAUUAAUCUCUAUUAAUGAAUACUUAGUCUAGUUCAUUCUUUUUUU
RNAcentral lists this long non-coding RNA (234 nucleotides) under Mytilus galloprovincialis (Mediterranean mussel). The record is from RNAcentral. Lineage: Eukaryota; Metazoa; Mollusca; Bivalvia; Mytilida; Mytilidae.